GACUGUGACGGUCCUCGUGUGUUCUGUCCCCAGACGAGUUUGGCGCACCGACUCGUGGCGCGAGAAGGCUCGGCCGCUCCGCUUCCCCUCUACACGUCGCCCUCCCUGCCCAACAUCACGCUGGGCCUGCCUGCCACCGGUCCUUCCUCUGUAAGUCACCCCCGUAGGUCCCUUUGGCGUGGGGUGGAGGUGGUGGGUCCGUCUGCCUGAGCAUCCCCGGCUGUGCUUUCCAGGGCGCGGCGGGCCAGCAGGACGCCGAGAGACUCGCCCUCCCCGCCCUCCAGCAGAGGCUCUCCCUUUUCCCGGGCACCCACCUCACUCCCUACCUGAGCACCUCGCCCUUGGAGCGGGAUGGAGGGGCAGCACACAGCCCUCUUCUACAGCACAUGGUCCUCCUGGAGCAGCCCACGGCACAAGCGCCGCUCGUCACAGACUGGUAUCUUUCAGGCCUGGGAGCUCUGCCCCUCCACACACAGUCCCUGGUUGGUGCGGACCGGGUGUCCCCUUCCAUCCACAAGCUGCGGCAGCACCGCCCACUGGGGCGGACCCAGUCAGCCCCGCUGCCCCAGAACGCCCAGGCCCUGCAGCACCUGGUCAUCCAGCAGCAGCAUCAGCAGUUUCUGGAGAAACAUAAGCAGCAGUUCCAGCAGCAGCAACUGCACAUGAACAAGAUCAUCCCCAAGCCAAGCGAGCCAGCCCGGCAGCCAGAGAGCCACCCCGAGGAGACGGAGGAGGAACUCCGCGAGCACCAGGCUCUGCUGGACGAGCCCUACCUGGACCGGCUGCCGGGGAAGGAGGCGCACGCACCGGGCGGCGUGCAGGUGAAGCAGGAGCCCAUCGAGAGCGACGACGAAGAGGCAGAGCCCACACAGGAGGUGGAGCCGGGCCAGCGCCAGCCCAGUGAGCAGGAGCUGCUCUUCAGACAGCAAGCUCUCCUGCUGGAGCAGCAGCGGAUCCACCAGCUGAGGAACUACCAGGCAUCCAUGGAGGCUGCCGGCAUCCCCGUGUCCUUCGGCGGUCACCGGCCUCUGUCCCGGGCACAGUCCUCACCGGCAUCCGCCACCUUCCCCGUGUCUGUGCAGGAGCCCCCCGCCAAGCCGAGGUUCACGACAGGCCUCGUGUACGACACGCUGAUGCUGAAGCAUCAGUGCACCUGCGGGAGCAGCAGCAGCCACCCCGAGCACGCCGGGAGGAUCCAGAGCAUCUGGUCCCGCCUGCAGGAGACCGGCCUCCGAGGCAAAUGCGAGUGCAUCCGUGGACGGAAGGCCACCCUGGAGGAGCUGCAGACCGUGCACUCGGAAGCCCACACCCUCCUGUACGGCACGAACCCCCUCAACCGGCAGAAACUGGACAGCUCGCUGGCCUCUGUGUUCGUCCGGCUCCCCUGCGGUGGUGUUGGGGUAAGUGUUCCUUUAAUGUGUAAAUAAUGUCCUGUUUCUUCUCCAGUCCCAGUGGUCACAGAAAUCGCAGCCUCUCUUCCCUCAAAGUAAGUAAUUGCUACCAGGUGUUUCCCACACACAGGGUCUGGCGGGCCGGGGCUGCCCAUGUGCGGCUUCAAAGGCCGCGUGAGCCAAGAGCGUUUUGACCGCAGACACGGGCACCUUUCUCUGAGGAAGGUCAUCUGGUGCUCGCGGCUCGGGCUCUGGGGAGUAGUGGCUCUUGCUGUAAGGAACAGGAGAAACAGGACCCUGUGUGCAGCCAGCGUCUCAUCCCCUUCUGGGUCUGCAGCAGUCAUCUGCUCACAUCAGGCCAUGAGUAUGGCAUGGGCAGGACGCGUGUUUCCUUAUUCCGUACCCAGUUUCCGCCCGAAGCUAUAGGUGGGGCUCCCAGUGCAGUGACCGUGAUUCUCAUGGGCCACAUGGAGUCUGUAGGGCCGCUCGCUGGGCGGGGCCGGCUACGAGCUGCUGAUACAUAGACCUGGCCUGGGCACGUGAAUUCACAAGGACUUUGCAGUCUGGGCAUCUGCCCAUCGGUCCACACAGGAGUGGUCAUGUGCAAUCAAACUUUUCAGUAACAAAAAGGUUCUCCCCUGGCCCCCAACCUCCUUGAUGCAGCCUGGGAAGAGGUGGCAAUAGCAAGGGCUGCCGUGAGAAGGUGAGGCUGAGCCUCCCAGCGGUUUUGGGCCAUCGUGGUCCUGCAGUGCCUCAAAUCCCCACAGGGUUACAGGCAGGGAGGACAGGCGCCCGUGGACGGUAGGAGCCGCUGCCGCCGAAACAGCGCAGCGUGUGUGUGAUCACAGAUCGCAGGGCGAAGCUCAAGGUCUGGAUUCUGUUAUGGAAAUGAAACAAAAUUGUUUUCUUCCUGAGUUUUUAUAAAAAUCACUGCUUUGAAAAUUAUCCCGUCAGAAAGAGAAUAAACGGCAUUUAUUCAUACCACCACCAUGCCUCCUAGAGUUAUUUUAUUUUGUAUUGUAAAUAGGCUGCAAUCUCUUAAUUUGGGGCAAGUUUUUGGCCAGACUUGAAAAGAAUUGAAUUUGCACUGCCCUGCAGCCAGCACGCCUGUGCAAGGCAGAAUUUAUCGUUUGCAAAUGAAAGCUGAGUGCAGGCUCAGAGCUGAGGGGGUGAGCCCAGCAGCCCCCCACCAAGUGUUCAGUCCAGAUCUGAGGCAC
Aotus nancymaae (Ma's night monkey) is the source of this 2608-nucleotide long non-coding RNA. Lineage: Eukaryota; Metazoa; Chordata; Mammalia; Primates; Aotidae. The record is from Ensembl.